GGCAGGGUAGGGCACCGCUUACCUAUUACAGAGAAUAUUAUUUAAAAAAAUCCUCAGCCCAGGCCCUCCGCCGCAAGGAGAUCCACGCCGGCCGCGCCGCGCGUGGGCGCUCCACCUCCACGGUCCCGCCCAGCGCCCGUGAGAAGACUGUGGCGUGUCGCACACCCCAUCCCCUCCUCCGAUAUCUCCACAAACUCGUUGCGGCGCCCCCUCCUCCUGACCUAUGGCAGUGGGGAGCUGGUCGUUCUUGCUCGCCGCAGCUUGUAUCUCCAGCGCUGCUGUGGCCGCCGCCGCCGCCGUCUCGUCGUCGGCUGAGCAGGCAGGUAGCAGCCAGGAAUCCAUCAAUUGUAUGCCCUGCUCUAGGAGGUACAUCGGCAAUGCAUAUCUUGAUACCUUGACAGGCCAGCUUGCUCAGCGUCGUGACUUAACUGAAAUGAGUAGUUCUGGUGGCUUGUGCAAAGGACUUGCUGAUGAUGUCGAAGUGCCUACGCUUUCAGAAUUGCGCCGGCAACUAGUUGGUGAAGGUUCUCACCGCCAUUUAGUCUAUUCUAUGAAAUUUGAUGACGGUCAAGAUGCUAUGGUUAAUUUCCUUGAUGGUUAUGAUGCCAAUCUGGUGAUAAUUGAAAAGCUCCCGGAUGGGGUCUUUGCUGAUCCGUUUGAGCUACAGCAUUUUGUUGAGCGGAAAGUUUUUCUUGAUGUUGCUGUUUUUGGAGACACCAACCUUGAACUACCCUCAGCUCUGUCCAACUUGUCAGCUGCUGAGAUUCAUGUUGAUCUCAGGCCAAGCACAUCAACAAACCGUAACCUUGAAAUAGACCUGCCUCUUCAUGCUAGAUACCCGGGAACAAUAUGAGUUGGAAUACUUGCAUUUGAGAUGCUCAAAGUGCAUAGAAGAGAUUGGCGGAUGAUCCAAAUAAUGACAAAAGAAAAAGAAAUGUAGAAAGCAACAUUUUCUGGCAAUGGCCACGCUGCCCACCCUGCCAUUUUUGGUCUUGCCUUCUUUACCCAUCAUUUGUUUCGGAAGCCUCUUGAUGCCAGUGGCUAUGCAAUGGUUGAGUUUGGUAGCCCAGAUCUGUUCCUACGCUACAGAAGAAAGAAAACCCACUCCGAUUCCUGUUUGUGGGUGCUUAAGAAUCUCGACGCCGCUCCCUUGGAGAAAGCUGCGUGGCGCAUACCCUGUGGAGAUGAAUCACACAUAGGAUUUGUAUCCAGUAUCACGUUUCUUUCA
Phragmites australis (common reed) is the source of this 1228-nucleotide RNA transcript. RefSeq lists it as uncharacterized. The transcript is spliced from 5 exons. Lineage: Eukaryota; Viridiplantae; Streptophyta; Magnoliopsida; Poales; Poaceae. The record is from RefSeq and is a predicted model, not a curated record.